Molecule: ribosomal RNA, 120 nt
Filed under: uncultured bacterium
Lineage: Bacteria
Description: partial 16S ribosomal RNA
Rfam family: Bacterial small subunit ribosomal RNA
Source: RNAcentral
CCGCUCGAAGAGGGGGCUGCGGCCCAUCAGGUAGUUGGUAGGGUAAUGGCCUACCAAGCCAACGACGGGUAGGGGGUCUGAGAGGAUGGUCCCCCACACUGGGACUGAGACACGGCCCAG